This 2943-nucleotide long non-coding RNA is filed under the name Bemisia tabaci. RNAcentral describes it as "lncRNA ENSSSA3NGG006097". Lineage: Eukaryota; Metazoa; Arthropoda; Insecta; Hemiptera; Aleyrodidae. The record is from RNAcentral.
UGAUGAUUCACGAUAAAGUAUAGAAUGAAACGCAUCGUAAACAUAUAGAACAAAACAACUUUCCUUGAUUUUUCAGACGAUCAAUUCAUUAAAGCAUCGUUUGAGGAAGCAAAGCAAUACUUCAAAAUUUUAAUUGAAAACCCUUUGGACCUGAGGCCGGAGAUACAAUCUCACAAGUAUUGCGUUACAAACCAGUUGGCCGACCAAUGCACUGAAAACGCGAAUCUGCACCUGGAGAUCCGGAAGCUCAACAGGCUGCUCAGGUCGGCGGAGGAGGAACAAGAAAAAGAGCGCUCCCAGUGGCGACGGGCACUCGAGGAACGCGAGAGGACAAUCGCCACACUCCGCGACAACAUCUACUAUUUCAUAAGGAAGCUUAAGUUUAAGAGGAACCCAGGGGUCGGCCUAGGCGGUGUCAUCAAACGGACGCGCUUCAAACGCAACAUCAAGAACAUUCUAUCGAGCAACACGAGCAACAUGUGCAACAUCCGCUUGUUCGCCGGGAAGCUGAUAAGUCCGGAUAGCAGUAACGUCAACUAUCAUUUUUACUAUAAGAACAAGUUCGAGGGAAGCAACGCGGAUUUCCAGAGUUCUUUCCAAGUCCCUUCCGAGAGCUCUCAGGCGACUCUCAUGCCGCUGACUCUCCACCAUUCAAUUGAUCAGGCGUGUUCGCACCGAGCCAUCCUACAAGAGCGUGACACCUCCGAGUGUGCGAGUAGGACUCAUUCGCUACUGGAAUCGCUGCCUCGCGCCUCGGACGACGAGGAGGAAUCCUGUCACUGCGACGCCUCCGAGUCGAGCGCUCCCGAAACGACCGGCGCGGAUUUCUCACGCGACCACGGUCUUCCGAGGAAGAAACAGGAUCGCACCAAGCACUCGAUAGUCUGCCGGCGAGGCGGCCCGCAGUCCAGAGAACCGCAGAGGGUAGGGAGUCUGUCCAAGGGAGACGCCGGGAACUUCGGCUGGAAGCGGAGGACGAAGCCCUGCGAGGUGUCUGAUGAAGAAAGUUCCUGUGCAGGGACGUCCAUUUCGGAGGACUUUCUAGACGGCAACACUGAUUAUUCAAGCCAGCGACACGCAUACCAAUGUCAUUACACUGACUCUGACAAAACCUUAACAGAGGAUAGUGAUCAUGGAAGCGAAGAGAGGGGCGAAGAAGCAUCAAAAAGGUUUUUGCUGAGGGAUUCUUUCGAGCCCUUUGACAUUGACGAUAUCCCUCAAAUACUAGCAGCCAGCUUUCCGAGUAGGGAACUGACGAUGAGUCCUCAGGCAGCGAAUGAAACCAAUUUGCCGAGUGAGUUUUUUUCGAAACAGAUGGAGAAACCUCAGUAUGCAACGGUUCACUCACGACUUAGAGCAUGUUUGUCAACAGUGCAAGAGAUGUCAAAUGAAUCAGAUUUGUCUCAGAGAGAAUUGACUCGAUCGAGGGCUAUCCAAAGGGUUACCCAUCUUUAUCUAAAGUAGAGUGCCCCAAGAACUUGUGGGUGAGGAGACAGAGACAGAGGAUGAAGAAUCAGAAGAGUUAGAAUCGAUUUUGGGUUCAGAAGUCGAUCAAACAGCGUUUAAUAAGUUCCUCGAAGGGUUAAUUAACAUCGAUAAUUUUCCUCUGAGAACAGAAUCAGCACCUGCUAAGUUGCAAUCGGUGUCUCCCGAUCUUUUCUUGUAACUUAAUUUGUACCUGUUACCUGUAAUUGUUUACACCCCGUUAGCGAAAUUGCUUGAUUCGGAGACUGCGGGCUGAUUGUUAAAAUUGAUAGACAAAGAAGACAUAGAGAGUAUGGAGUGAUCCUAUUGGUUGAAAUGGGUUCUUAUAGACUGAGGGAGGAAAUAUUGGUAUGGGGUCUCUCGUGGGUUGCCGUUAGUCUAUUACUUAUCUCCUUUGUUCAUUGCAACCACCCGCUUCCACCAACAGGAUCCCUCCAUACCAUAGCCUUUUUGUCAUCUUUAUCUAUCGCUUUGUCUACCAAUUUCAACAAUCACUCCACCAGUCUGAAAAUUACGCCAACCUCUCCAAUCGACGUCGUGGUCGUUAACUUUAAAUGCAAUCCAUACGCUGAUCGAUGAAUGCCCUCUGCUGACCGAGUUCUAACUAAUUAUUCGCGAGAUUUUGAACGAAACUUUAAAAUAUCAAAACAAUUUACAAUAAUUUGUAAAAAAUUUACGACUCAUUUUUCUUAUGUUUCACAAAAGUUCUUCAUACAAAUUUACGAGUUUUUUUUUUAAUUUUCAACAAUUGUCAACGUUUUAAAAUGCAUGUUUCAUAUUUACAAAUUGAAGGCGCUGCCACUUUACAUAGAUAGAACUGACAACGUGUUGAAAUCGGUCAGUGGGGGGCAAUGGGGCAUUCGUCGAUUAGCGUAUAAAUUGCAGCAAAAAUUAAAAUUUCAUGGGCGUAAUUUUCAGACUUCAGACCGGCCACUCCGCGCGCUGGCCGCCCAAUUCACAGACUGGGCAAUAACAUCGGCCGGUCCGGAGACUGAGAAACGAGGAUGGCCAAUCCGCGGACGAGGUAACAAAUUUGUUGAGUCCGCGAACUGAGCAAUUUAGCCAACAGGGUGUAUCAUACCAAAUGCUUAAUUUUACGUCAGAGUAUUCACUUGGGUAUUCCCUAGAUUUUAAACCAAACGCAUUAUUACAUCACUACGUUUUGUGAUUUAGAAUUUUAGAAAAACAAUUUGUAAAUAAUGACAAGGUGAAAAAAAUGCUUGAUAACUUGGAUGAUUGAUUCCUAUGUCCUUUAUUGUUUUACGUUCUCUUCCUGAACAAAUGCUUGUCUCCUCGAACAUUUCAUUUUCUUAAAAACUCCCAGCAAUUUAGGAUGCUUGUGAUAAGUUUAUUUACUGAUAAAGAAAUUGUCAAAUCUAUAGAUUUUUGUAAGAAUCGAUUCUGUAAAUAUAGUGAGGACACACAUGAAGAUACCUUUAAGUUAGAAGCUAAUUAAAC